This 109-nucleotide small RNA is filed under the name Marmota monax (woodchuck). The record is from RNAcentral. Lineage: Eukaryota; Metazoa; Chordata; Mammalia; Rodentia; Sciuridae.
GCCGGGCAUAGUGGCUCCUGCCUGUAAUCUCAGUUACUCAGGAGGCUGAGUCAGGAGGAUGGCAACUGUGUGAAGACAGUCUGGGCAAUUUAGUGAGACCCUGUCUCAA